CAUGCAAGUCGAACGGUGAACACGGAGCUUGCUCUGUGGGAUCAGUGGCGAACGGGUGAGUAACACGUGAGCAACCUACCCCUGACUCUGGGAUAAGCGCUGGAAACGGCGUCUAAUACUGGAUACGAGUGGCGACCGCAUGGUCAGCUACUGGAAAGAUUUAUUGGUUGGGGAUGGGCUCGCGGCCUAUCAGCUUGUUGGUGAGGUAAUGGCUCACCAAGGCGUCGACGGGUAGCCGGCCUGAGAGGGUGACCGGCCACACUGGGACUGAGACACGGCCCAGACUCCUACGGGAGGCAGCAGUGGGGAAUAUUGCACAAUGGGCGCAAGCCUGAUGCAGCAACGCCGCGUGAGGGAUGACGGCCUUCGGGUUGUAAACCUCUUUUAGCAGGGAAGAAGCGAAAGUGACGGUACCUGCAGAAAAAGCGCCGGCUAACUACGUGCCAGCAGCCGCGGUAAUACGUAGGGCGCAAGCGUUAUCCGGAAUUAUUGGGCGUAAAGAGCUCGUAGGCGGUUUGUCGCGUCUGCUGUGAAAUCCGGAGGCUCAACCUCCGGCCUGCAGUGGGUACGGGCAGACUAGAGUGCGGUAGGGGAGAUUGGAAUUCCUGGUGUAGCGGUGGAAUGCGCAGAUAUCAGGAGGAACACCGAUGGCGAAGGCAGAUCUCUGGGCCGUAACUGACGCUGAGGAGCGAAAGGGUGGGGAGCAAACAGGCUUAGAUACNCUGGUAGUCCACCCCGUAAACGUUGGGAACUAGUUGUGGGGUCCAUUCCACGGAUUCCGUGACGCAGCUAACGCAUUAAGUUCCCCGCCUGGGGAGUACGGCCGCAAGGCUAAAACUCAAAGGAAUUGACGGGGACCCGCACAAGCGGCGGAGCAUGCGGAUUAAUUCGAUGCAACGCGAAGAACCUUACCAAGGCUUGACAUAUACGAGAACGGGCC
RNAcentral lists this ribosomal RNA (940 nucleotides) under Microbacterium phyllosphaerae. Its description in RNAcentral is "bacterial SSU rRNA". It matches the Rfam family "Bacterial small subunit ribosomal RNA", at positions 54 to 1002 of the family's 1533-position model. Lineage: Bacteria; Bacillati; Actinomycetota; Actinomycetes; Micrococcales; Microbacteriaceae. The record is from RNAcentral.